UUCCUCUCUGCUCCCAGCAGUUAAGAGGCCAGUGUUGAUCAGUGGCUGUCCAGGCCUUUCAGAGCCACUGACACGCCGGCAGCACAAUGAUAAUGUCACUGACUCUACUGCUGGCCACCCUGGGGCUCCUUGUUCAGGAUUCAUCAGGAGAAAUCAUCCUGACUCAGUCUCCUAAAGCUCAGUCUGUUGUUCCAGGACAGACUGUCUCUAUCAGAUGUAAAGCCAGUUCAAGUAUGGGCAGCUACCUUCACUGGUACCUUCAGAAACCCGGAGAAUCUCCCAAACUUUUGAUUCAUUAUGCCACAACUCGUCAGUCUGGAGUUUCAAAUCGUUUCAGUGGGAGUGGAUCUGGAACUGACUUCACUUUGACCAUCAGUACAGUUCAGAUUGAGGAUGCAGGAGUUUACUAUUGUCUACAGAGUGGUUACAGUUACCCGUUCACACAGUGAUACAACGUCGUACAAACACCUCCCUCAGCUGGAGAGCAACUGAUCUGAAUCAACAGCUGCACAGAAAUACAGACACUUUAGACAUUUAACAGACAGUGAAGUCCAUAUAACAGAAGACCAUCAGUAAAUAUGAUGUA
Molecule: non-coding RNA, 586 nt
Organism: Dicentrarchus labrax (European seabass)
Lineage: Eukaryota; Metazoa; Chordata; Actinopteri; Moronidae
Source: the annotation of a RefSeq genome assembly